Molecule: non-coding RNA, 84 nt
Organism: Allochromatium vinosum DSM 180
Lineage: Bacteria; Pseudomonadati; Pseudomonadota; Gammaproteobacteria; Chromatiales; Chromatiaceae
Source: Rfam
GUGUUAUGGCUGAAAGGCCGACGCCGACAGGCGGAGCGAGCAGUCAGCAGAGGCCGUAGUAGCCGCUGGUUUGGGGCGAAGGGC